RNAcentral lists this unclassified non-coding RNA (431 nucleotides) under fungal sp. Its description in RNAcentral is "partial internal transcribed spacer region". The stretch from base 1 to 46 matches the Rfam family "Eukaryotic small subunit ribosomal RNA", at positions 1786 to 1831 of the family's 1831-position model. The record is from RNAcentral. Lineage: Eukaryota; Fungi.
AAGUCGUAACAAGGUUUCCGUAGGUGAACCUGCGGAAGGAUCAUUAACACGUAUCCACGUAUCUACCUCUUGCGAACUUGUUAUUUGUUUGUAGCUGUGUCUUGUAUAACUGAGGAAGCAGAUUACCAUGUCGUUCUGACUUUCAGAAAUAUUCUUUUUUUGAUCGAUGGAAUGUUCUGCUUGCCUGUCCACCGUUGCUGAGUGCUAGUGUAUCGAGAUUGACCCAUCAUUUCGGUGAUGAGGCAAUCCUAUUAGCCAAAACUCCACGGAUCGGGUACAAGAUAUUAGCUCGAAUCAUGGUGGUAUUCACCAUUAACCCUUUUUUUUCUAAAUUGUCUUAGUGAGUGUCCUGGUAGUAGCUUUUUGCGAAACUAGGCCUCCCCAAAAUUUAAACACUAUACAACUCUUAGCAACGGAUAUCUCGGUUCUCC